AAGGAAUAUUGGUCAAUGGACGCAAGUCUGAACCAGCCAUGCCGCGUGAAGGAUGAAGGUCCUCUGGAUUGUAAACUUCUUUUAUCUGGGACGAAAACGGGAUUUUUAUCUCAAUUGACGGUACCAGAGGAAUAAGCACUGGCUAACUCCGUGCCAGCAGCCGCGGUAAUACGGAGGGUGCGAGCGUUAUCCGGAUUUACUGGGUUUAAAGGGUGCGUAGGUGGGCUUAUAAGUCAGUGGUGAAAUCUCCGAGCUUAACUUGGAAACUGCCGUUGAUACUAUAGGUCUUGAAUUAUCUGGAGGUAAGCGGAAUAUGUCAUGUAGCGGUGAAAUGCUUAGAUAUGACAUAGAACACCAAUCGCGAAGGCAGCUUACUACAUAUAAAUUGACGCUGAGGCACGAAAGCGUGGGGAUCAAACA
This 420-nucleotide ribosomal RNA is filed under the name uncultured bacterium. RNAcentral's name for it is "bacterial SSU rRNA". It matches the Rfam family "Bacterial small subunit ribosomal RNA", at positions 356 to 774 of the family's 1533-position model. The record is from RNAcentral.